GGUCAGAGUAAUGGGUGUCGUCAGUUCGGUUGCCUUUUCAUUUUCCUGAAGCUUGAAGGCCACCUUUUGACUAGAAACUACAUCUAAAAUGCAUGUCCUAGAACAAGAAGGGAUGGCUGUCAGAGUGGGGAUUCCAUCUUCAUCUGGAAAUCCAAGAAAGACUACAGGAAUUUUCUUCACACGGGACUUCUGGGAAGUUAAGGGAAAGGUAACCCUGGCAGCAGUUUGCUGUAUUGGCUUCUUAACGUGAUGUGGCUUUGGAAAGAUGCUUCCCUGAAGAUCUUAGCUGCUGUCCGGCUCUGCCUCUCCUAUUUGGUCAAUUUGAUGAUUGUAAAUGUGUGAGUCACAGCACUAUAUUGCUUUAAUUACCUAUGAGGAGCAUGCAUAGUAAAAUAACGUUCAAUAAAAA
Mus caroli (Ryukyu mouse) is the source of this 409-nucleotide long non-coding RNA. RefSeq lists it as uncharacterized. NCBI's taxonomy places the organism in Eukaryota, Metazoa, Chordata, Mammalia, Rodentia, Muridae. The record is from RefSeq and is a predicted model, not a curated record.